Molecule: ribosomal RNA, 381 nt
Filed under: uncultured soil bacterium
Lineage: Bacteria
Description: bacterial SSU rRNA
Rfam family: Bacterial small subunit ribosomal RNA
Source: RNAcentral
AGAAUCAACGCUGGCGGCGUGCCUCAGACAUGCAAGUCGAACGAUUAAACUUUCCUUCGGGAAAGAUAUAAAGUGGCGCACGGGUGAGUAACACGUAAGUAAUCUACCUUCGAGUGGGGAAUAACAGUCGGAAACGACUGCUAAUACCGCAUAAUGCAGCGGCAUCGCAAGAUGACAGUUGUAAAGGAUUUAUUCGCUUGAAGAGGAGCUUGCGGCAGAUUAGCUAGUUGGUAAGUAACGCUUACCAAGGCUACGAUCUGUAACCGGUCUAAGAGGACGGUCGGUCACACUGACACUGAAUAACGGGUCAGACUCCGUACGGGAGGCAGCAGUCGGGAAUUUUGGCAAUCGGGCAAAGCCUACGACCCAGCAACGCCGCGU